AUUGAACGCUGGCGGCAUGCCUUACACAUGCAAGUCGAACGGCAGCACGGGAGCUUGCUCCUGGUGGCGAGUGGCGAACGGGUGAGUAAUACAUCGGAACGUACCCUGAAGUGGGGGAUAACGUAGCGAAAGUUACGCUAAUACCGCAUAUUCUGUGAGCAGGAAAGAGGGGGAUCGCAAGACCUCUUGCUUUAGGAGCGGCCGAUGUCGGAUUAGCUAGUUGGUGAGGUAAAGGCUCACCAAGGCGACGAUCCGUAGCGGGUCUGAGAGGAUGAUCCGCCACACUGGGACUGAGACACGGCCCAGACUCCUACGGGAGGCAGCAGUGGGGGAAUUUUGGACAAUGGGCGCAAGCCUGAUCCAGCCAUGCCGCGUGAGUGAAGAAGGCCUUCGGUU
RNAcentral lists this ribosomal RNA (396 nucleotides) under uncultured bacterium. Its description in RNAcentral is "bacterial SSU rRNA". It matches the Rfam family "Bacterial small subunit ribosomal RNA", at positions 30 to 423 of the family's 1533-position model. The record is from RNAcentral.